Gasterosteus aculeatus aculeatus (three-spined stickleback) is the source of this 552-nucleotide long non-coding RNA. NCBI's taxonomy places the organism in Eukaryota, Metazoa, Chordata, Actinopteri, Perciformes, Gasterosteidae. The record is from Ensembl.
GCAGGGGGCGUGGCCUGUCCGUUAAUUGGCUUGGCGGGAACCAGGUGCGGCGCGGAGGAGGCGAAGGGCCGCUCCGGAGUCCCGCCGCCCGCUCCUCCACCCUCCUGCUACUGACGUAGUUUAACGUUUGAGCUUCCACAGACACAUCGAGAGCUCAGAUGACGAUUACCUGCAGCAGUAAAUUCAAGACUCCCCUGGUCGAAUUUCUCCAAGGGGAAGCAAGUGGACAUCCAGACGCCUUGGGCUGAUCCCUUGGUCUGAUGGCUCCCAGCAGGAGGGGAGGACUCAGGAUGCAGCAUAAUAGGAUGCUGUAGUCACAGGACUGCUUUGGAUAAAGUGCAUAUGUGUCAGUCACAUAUUUGUUUUUUAACCUCAGCCAAUAAAAUAUAAAUUUUCUCAUCAAUCAUGAAUACGGUUUGUGCAUAAAAUUAUAAGUAACAUUGUAUUUUGUGUAUUCCUCCUUCUUAUGCUGUGUUUUUAUGUAACCGGAGUCAAAUCCACGUAUGCAUAAUCGUACAUGACGAAUAAAGCUGAUUCUGAAAAUGGGAAUAA